AUUGAACGCUGGCGGCAGGCCUAACACAUGCAAGUCGAGCGGAUGAAGGGAGCUUGCUCCUGGAUUCAGCGGCGGACGGGUGAGUAAUGCCUAGGAAUCUGCCUGGUAGUGGGGGAUAACGUCCGGAAACGGGCGCUAAUACCGCAUACGUCCUGAGGGAGAAAGUGGGGGAUCUUCGGACCUCACGCUAUCAGAUGGGCCUAGGUCGGAUUAGCUAGUUGGUGGGGUAAAGGCCUACCAAGGCGACGAUCCGUAACUGGUCUGAGAGGAUGAUCAGUCACAAUGGAACUGAGACACGGUCCACACUCCUACGGGAGGCAGCAGUGGGGAAUAUUGGACAAUGGGCGAAAGCCUGAUCCAGCCAUGCCGCGUGUGUGAAGAAGGUCUUCGGAUUGUAAAGCACUUUAAGUUGGGAGGAAGGGCAGUAAGUUAAUACCUUGCUGUUUUGACGUUACCAACAGAAUAAGCACCGGCUAACUUCGUG
Molecule: ribosomal RNA, 484 nt
Filed under: uncultured bacterium
Lineage: Bacteria
Description: partial 16S ribosomal RNA
Rfam family: Bacterial small subunit ribosomal RNA
Source: RNAcentral